AGUCGCUUUUAAUCAAAACCGUCUCCUAUUGGCCCAUGCAUAUCUAUCAGAAUUAAAUAGGUGGUCAAAAACUCUCGACAAACUAAUGUAUGGGUCUGGUCGUAAAGUGCAGUCUAAAUUUCCAUUGUAGGGACCGUACAUCUCUCGUCCUUGCCAGUGCGUGUGCGUGAUCCAGGCAAUGUCACAUACGCCCACCGCUUACUAUUGCUAAUAUUCACCCUUAACAUCCGCCCGCUCAGUCGGUAACAAUGCAUGAUAACUGCCAGCAGUAACAAUCUAGUAAGUAGGUCAUCAGGUGACGCGCCGCCCUUUUGGCCAGUUUGAAAAAUCAGCAUAAAAAUGCGACACUUUCGCAAAGCGAUUUCAGUCUGUAAGCAGAAUUAAAUUGAGUGCAUUCAACAACAACACAACAGAAAACGAAACGAAACCAAAAGUAAACGCGAAAUACUACAAAAAUCUGUUACAAGUUCGAAUAAACCCGCAGCAAAGAUACUACGAAAAUGAGGCGCGUAUUCUUUACUCUUUGGCACAUGCUCACGGCCCAGCGCCUGCUCCUGGUACUCUGUUCGUUGCUCUCUCUUUGCUCCGGCGGCAAUAUGCAUCCUUUGAAAGUGGGCAAAAACUAUGUGUCGCUGCACAACCAGCCCAAGGACUUUCGCUCUUUAGUGAUGGAUAUUACCAAGUUUAUUCUCACUAUUGUGGGCAGAACACGUUGAGUCCAGCAGAUGCUGGAAGUUUUUUUGUUAUUUUUUUUGAGCACGUAUUCCUUAUUUAUAGAAAGCAAAAGCUUUUGCCUCCAUCUAAUCUGUCCAAAGAUCGGACUACCAUAUCUAUUACUAAGCUGGUAGGUCGCGCAUGAUCCAAACAUAUAUCAGUUCUUUAUCUCUAUUCAAAGGCGUCCAGAUUUGCAAAGUUCCAGAGUUCCAAAAAUCUCCAUUAGAGACCGACAGAAAGGCCAGCGACCAGCGACCAGCAGAUCAGUGCAGAGACCGACAACCAUUGCCAAAGCAACGCAAAGCCUGGCCUCGAACUGAAUUUACAAUAAAAAUUCUUAAUUCUUGGUACAAAAAUUACUGUAUUUAGCUGAUGAAAAUAAUUUGAAUAUAUGUAUUUUUCGAGCAGGUUAACUUUUUGUAGAGUAAAUGUUGGUUAAAUAUGGUCUUUUAAUUUGUUCUUUUGUGGCAAACGUUCUUGUUCUGUUGUUCUGUUUAGAGCUAAUAAAAUCGCAUACAAGUGAAUUUGA
Long non-coding RNA from Drosophila miranda, 1243 nucleotides. RefSeq lists it as uncharacterized. The record is from RefSeq and is a predicted model, not a curated record. Lineage: Eukaryota; Metazoa; Arthropoda; Insecta; Diptera; Drosophilidae. The transcript is spliced from 3 exons.